UACGGAGGGUGCAAGCGUUAGUCGGAAUUACUGGGCGUAAAGCGUGCGUAGGCGGUCUCUUAAGUCCGUUGUGAAAGCCCUGGGCUCAACCUGGGAACUGCAGUGGAUACUGAGAAGCUAGAGUGUGUCAGAGGAUGGUGGAAUUCCCGGUGUAGCGGUGAAAUUCGUAGAUAUCGGGAGGAACACCAGUGGCGAAGGCGGCGAUCUGGGAAGAUACUGACGCUGAGGUGCGAAAGCGUGGGGAGCAAACAGG
RNAcentral lists this ribosomal RNA (253 nucleotides) under uncultured bacterium. RNAcentral describes it as "partial 16S ribosomal RNA". It matches the Rfam family "Bacterial small subunit ribosomal RNA", at positions 524 to 776 of the family's 1533-position model. The record is from RNAcentral.